Molecule: ribosomal RNA, 449 nt
Filed under: uncultured bacterium
Lineage: Bacteria
Description: bacterial SSU rRNA
Rfam family: Bacterial small subunit ribosomal RNA
Source: RNAcentral
GCCCAGACUCCUACGGGAGGCAGCAGUGGGGAAUAUUGCACAAUGGGGGAAACCCUGAUGCAGCGACGCCGCGUGAGCGAUGAAGUAUUUCGGUAUGUAAAGCUCUAUCAGCAGGGAAGAAAAUGACGGUACCUGACUAAGAAGCCCCGGCUAACUACGUGCCAGCAGCCGCGGUAAUACGUAGGGGGCAAGCGUUAUCCGGAUUUACUGGGUGUAAAGGGAGCGUAGACGGUUACGCAAGUCUGGAGUGAAAGGCGGGGGCCCAACCCCCGGACUGCUUUGGAAACUGUGUAACUGGAGUACAGGAGGGGCAGGCGGAAUUCCUGGUGUAGCGGUGAAAUGCGUAGAUAUCAGGAGGAACACCGGCGGCGAAGGCGGCCUGCUGGACUGAAACUGACGUUGAGGCUCGAAAGCGUGGGGAGCAAACAGGAUUAGAUACCCCGGUAAUC